AACGCACAUUGCGCCCUUUGGUAUUCCUUAGGGCAUGCCUGUUCGAGCGUCGCAAAAACCCAGAUCACCUAGAGUGUGGUAUUGGCAGAAGUGGCCGGGGCUAUCAGCGCUGCUGCCACUCUGCUGGAAUGAAUAGGCUGGAAAAGUAGAUCAUAGCAACAGACUUUCACAGUAUUUUGAAAUGCUAAAUUAGUUUGAAGCUGAUCGGAACCUAAGCCAUUUGACCCCCAUCCUGCGUAAAGCAGUAAGGUUGACCUCGGAUCAGGUAGGGAUACCCGCUGAACUUAA
This 288-nucleotide unclassified non-coding RNA is filed under the name Tuberaceae sp. RNAcentral's name for it is "partial contains 5.8S ribosomal RNA, internal transcribed spacer 2, and large subunit ribosomal RNA". The record is from RNAcentral. Lineage: Eukaryota; Fungi; Ascomycota; Pezizomycetes; Pezizales; Tuberaceae. RNAcentral also lists the same sequence under 2 other names.